CUCAGGAUGAACGCUAGCGGCAGGCUUAACACAUGCAAGUCGAGGGGUAUUGGUUUUCGGACCAAGAGACCGGCGCACGGGUGCGUAACGCGUAUGCAAUCUACCUUUUGCAGAGGGAUAGCCCAGAGAAUUUGGAUUAAUACCUCAUAGUAUAGUACUUUGGCAUCAAGGAACUAUUAAAGUCACAACGGCAAAAGAUGAGCAUGCGUCCCAUUAGCUAGUUGGUAAGGUAACGGCUUACCAAGGCUACGAUGGGUAGGGGUUCUGAGAGGGAGAUCCCCCACACUGGUACUGAGACACGGACCAGACUCCUACGGGAGGCAGCAGUGAGGAAUAUUGGACAAUGGGCGCAAGCCUGAUCCAGCCAUGCCGCGUGCAGGAAGAAGCAUCUAUGGUGUGUAAACUGCUUUUGUACGGGAAGAAACACUCCUACGUGUAGGAGCUUGACGGUACCGUAAGAAUAAGGAUCGGCUAACUCCGUG
RNAcentral lists this ribosomal RNA (482 nucleotides) under uncultured bacterium. RNAcentral's name for it is "bacterial SSU rRNA". It matches the Rfam family "Bacterial small subunit ribosomal RNA", at positions 23 to 507 of the family's 1533-position model. The record is from RNAcentral.